UUGCUUGCUUCAGCCUCACAUAUAGUAAAAUUAGAACAAUACAGAGAAGAUUAGCAUGGCCCCUGUGCAAGGAUGACAUGCAAAUUCAUGAAGUGUUCAAAAAAAAA
Molecule: small nuclear RNA, 107 nt
Filed under: Dasypus novemcinctus (nine-banded armadillo)
Lineage: Eukaryota; Metazoa; Chordata; Mammalia; Cingulata; Dasypodidae
Source: RNAcentral